GCCGGGGUGGUGAAAUGGUAUACACGCUACCUUGAGGUGGUAGUGCCCGUAAGGGUGUGCAGGUUCAACUCCUGUUCCCGGCACCA
This 86-nucleotide transfer RNA is filed under the name Candidatus Daviesbacteria bacterium RIFCSPHIGHO2_01_FULL_41_45. RNAcentral describes it as "tRNA-Leu". It matches the Rfam family "tRNA". From Rfam's summary of the family: Transfer RNA (tRNA) molecules are approximately 80 nucleotides in length. Their secondary structure includes four short double-helical elements and three loops (D, anti-codon, and T loops). Lineage: Bacteria; Candidatus Daviesiibacteriota. RNAcentral also lists the same sequence under 2 other names. The record is from RNAcentral.